AUGGUCAUGAUAUUAAUCUAGAUUCAAGUUGAAUUUAACAUGGUUGUAGUCAAACAAGGUUUAUUCAAAAGUCACCGUAUUCAAAACUAUUACCAUUACAACACAUCCAUCCUGUUACAAAUGUUACAAAAGAUUUCAAUUUCUAUUCCAUUUGAGCCAAAGAUCCUAGAAUACCUAAUCUUUACCCAACUUUGUCUUUCAUCUUUUGUCCUUGCAUCAUCAUCAAUUUUGUAA
Non-coding RNA from Vicia faba (fava bean), 234 nucleotides. The record is from the annotation of a GenBank genome assembly. Lineage: Eukaryota; Viridiplantae; Streptophyta; Magnoliopsida; Fabales; Fabaceae.